AACGAACGCUGGCGGCAUGCCUAACACAUGCAAGUCGAACGAGACCUUCGGGUCUAUUGGCGCACGGGUGCGUAACGCGUGGGAACCUUCCCUUAGGUUCGGCCUAACUCCCCGAAAGGGGUGCUAAUUCCGGAUAAUGUCUUCUGACCAAAGAUUUAUCGCCUUUGGAUGGGCCCGCAUUGGAUUAGCUAGUUGGUAGGGUAAUAGCCUACCACGGCGACGAUCCAUAGCUGGUCUGGGAGGAGGAUCAGCCACACUGGGACUGAGACACGGCCCAGAAUCCUACGGGAGGCAGCAGUGGGGAAUAGUGGACAAUGGGCGAAAGCCUGAUCCAGCAAUGCCGCGUGAGUGAUGAAGGCCUUAGGGUUGUAAAGUUCUUUUAACCGGGAUGAUAAUGACAGUACCGGGAGAAUAAGCUCCGGCUAACUCCGUG
This 433-nucleotide ribosomal RNA is filed under the name uncultured bacterium. Its description in RNAcentral is "partial 16S ribosomal RNA". It matches the Rfam family "Bacterial small subunit ribosomal RNA", at positions 29 to 507 of the family's 1533-position model. The record is from RNAcentral.